Molecule: ribosomal RNA, 458 nt
Filed under: uncultured bacterium
Lineage: Bacteria
Description: partial 16S ribosomal RNA
Rfam family: Bacterial small subunit ribosomal RNA
Source: RNAcentral
CCUACGGGUGGCAGCAGUGGGGAAUAUUGCACAAUGGGGGAAACCCUGAUGCAGCGACGCCGCGUGAGUGAAGAAGUAAUUCGUUACGUAAAGCUCUAUCAGCAGGGAAGAAACACUGACCUUACGUUCACCAGACGGUACCUGAGUAAGAAGCCCCGGCUAACUACGUGCCAGCAGCCGCGGUAAUACGUAGGGGGCAAGCGUUAUCCGGAUUUACUGGGUGUAAAGGGAGCGUCGACGGUGGGGCAAGUCUGGAGUGAAAUGCCGCGGCUUAACUGCGGAACUGCUUUGGAAACUGGCGAACGAGAGUGUGGGAGGGGUGAGCGGAAUUCCGAGUGGAGCGGUGAAAUGCGUAGAUAUUAGGAGGAACACCGGUGGCGAAGGCGGCGUACUGGACAGUAACUGACGUGGAGGUUCGAAAGCGUGGGGAGCAAACAGGAUUAGAUACCCGAGUAGUC